This 500-nucleotide ribosomal RNA is filed under the name uncultured bacterium. RNAcentral's name for it is "partial 16S ribosomal RNA". It matches the Rfam family "Bacterial small subunit ribosomal RNA", at positions 30 to 523 of the family's 1533-position model. The record is from RNAcentral.
AUUGAACGCUGGCGGCAUGCCUUACACAUGCAAGUCGAACGGUAACAGGGAGCUUGCUCCGCUGACGAGUGGCGAACGGGUGAGUAAUGUAUCGGAACGUACCUUUUAGUGGGGGAUAACGUAGCGAAAGUUACGCUAAUACCGCAUAUUCUCUGAGGAGGAAAGCAGGGGACCUUCGGGCCUUGCGCUAAUAGAGCGGCGGAUAUCAGAUUAGCUAGUUGGUGAGGUAAAGGCUCACCAAGGCGACGAUCUGUAGCGGGUCUGAGAGGAUGAUCCGCCACACUGGAACUGAGACACGGUCCAGACUCCUACGGGAGGCAGCAGUGGGGAAUUUUGGACAAUGGGGGCAACCCUGAUCCAGCCAUGCCGCGUGAGUGAAGAAGGCCUUCGGGUUGUAAAGCUCUUUCGGCCGGGAAAAAAUCGCAUGGGUUAAUACCCUGUGUGGAUGAUGGUACCGGAAUAAGAAGCACCGGCUAACUACGUGCCAGCCGCCGCCGUAA